RNAcentral lists this ribosomal RNA (250 nucleotides) under uncultured prokaryote. Its description in RNAcentral is "partial 16S ribosomal RNA". It matches the Rfam family "Bacterial small subunit ribosomal RNA", at positions 524 to 773 of the family's 1533-position model. The record is from RNAcentral.
UACGUAGGUGGCGAGCGUUAUCCGGAUUUACUGGGUGUAAAGGGCGCGUAGGCGGGUUUGCAAGUCAGGUGUGAAAUCUAGGGGCUCAACCCCUAAACUGCACUUGAAACUGCAGAUCUUGAGUGUCGGAGGGGUUGACGGAAUUCCUAGUGUAGCGGUGAAAUGCGUAGAUAUUAGGAGGAACACCAGUGGCGAAGGCGGUCAACUGGACGAUAACUGACGCUGAGGCGCGAAAGCGUGGGGAGCAAAC